UUGUGGAGGAGGACGCCGAAGGUGGGGCUAAUGACUGGGGUGAAGUCGUAACAAGGUAGCCGUACCGGAAGGUGCGGCUGGAUCACCUCCUAACAGGGAGACAACAAAAUGUUAAAUAUUAAUUUUGUCACCUUAGGUCGAUCGGUAUCUCACAUUUUUAAUUUAUUAAAAAUUUUAUUUCCUAAGUUUUUUCUAGGUCACACCCAUUAUUUUCCUGGGCCAUUAGCUCAGGUGGUUAGAGCGCACCCCUGAUAAGGGUGAGGUCCCUGGUUCAAGUCCAGGAUGGCCCAUAUCUCUAUGUUGGGGGUAUAGCUCAGUUGGUAGAGCGCCUGCUUUGCAAGCAGGAUGUCAGCGGUUCGAGUCCGCUUACCUCCACUGAUUACCACCUCUUCCAUAAAUUCAUAGAAGGGAAAUUUCUGAGGUGUGAUCAAAUUCUGAACGAAUCUAGCUUCCUAAUCAUAUUUAUUAAGAUGCUGGACUCAUUGAAUUAAUUUCAUUGUUUUCAGAGAACCUUGACAACUGCAUAGAUUAUUUUAAAGACAAUAAGCAUCUUUAAUGAUGCAGAUUUAUUAUUUGUGCGAAUGCAUUAAUAACAAUUCUAUUAAGCUGAUGCUUCAAUUAUUGAAGUUAUUGGUCAAGCUACAA
Molecule: unclassified non-coding RNA, 645 nt
Filed under: uncultured Prochlorococcus sp.
Lineage: Bacteria; Bacillati; Cyanobacteriota; Cyanophyceae; Synechococcales; Prochlorococcaceae
Description: partial 16S-23S ribosomal RNA intergenic spacer; may also contain 16S ribosomal RNA and 23S ribosomal RNA
Rfam family: tRNA (bases 303-375)
Source: RNAcentral